GCGCGCGCCGCCCCCCCCCCCCCUCCACACCGCGCGCCCGUCGGAAAUUUCGCCCGCCCACCCGCGCCGUGAGUCGGACACACGGUGGCCCGCGGAAAAAUCAGUAGCGCUCGAGUUUCCACGGCCGCGAGUCCUGUCGCCGCGCGCGCCGUCCCCGGUCUCGCCGCGCCGCGAAGUUUUCCGACCGAACCGGUUCGGAACCGGGGAAGUGCCGCUCCCUGAAAUUAACCGCUCUUUCACCAGGAACGGACGUCGAGUCCAAGUGAAACCGGUUUCUAUCGAUGUGAAUCGAGGAGUCGUUUGCCGGCAUAACCGGUGUCCGGGAAGGGAAAGUGCCGCUCCUGAAAUUAACCGCUCUUUCACCAGGAACGGACGUCGAGUCCGAGUGAAACCGGUUUCCAUCGGUGUGAAUCAGUGAGCCGGUUGCCGGCGCGUAAUCGGUAUGCAUUGUCGUGGUAGCGAUUUGUAGUUGUACCCUGGCAUCACGGAGAUGGUCGGUUUUGUGAUAAAUGAAUUCUCGAUGACCAUGAGUGCGAUAGUUCCGCGAUGAAUCUCGGAUGAAAUCUCGAUGAGUGUGACAACGACUUGGUUCCUGACCGUUUCCCGUUGAAUCUUCGAUGGAUCGUCGAUGACCUCGCUCUUUCGCCGAGUUCCUGAUGAGUGUUCUACAAGUUCCUGAUGAGUGUUGGACGAGUUCUCAGUGACUCAGGUUCCAGUAACUUCCCGUUGAAUGUUGGACGAGUUGCCGAUGGUUUCCAACUCGGGACGGGUGUGACGGGCGCCGUUUGAGGAGUGCGGAUCCUCGGAUGAGCGGAUGAGCCGAUGAACGGGAGCAUGGCGAUGAAGACACUGAAGGCGGGAGGGGGCGGGGGCGGGCGACAAGGGGCGGGGCCCGGGCCGGGGCGGCAUGGACAAGGGCGCUCCUCGAGCCGGAGUCGGAAGCGCGUCCAGUCGUCCUGCAGGACACCGGAAGCCUCGAGCGACUGUUGGGAGGUCAUCGUGCCCCCGAUCACCCCGCCGCCCGACUUCCUCGCCCACCCCAACACUGCCGCCUUCGCCUCUUUCUUCCCCGGCAACAGAUUUGAAGAAGGACAAGACUGAAAGCAUGCCGGCUGUGAACGGGAGCUGCAUAGUGAGCGAGCAGCCGCCGCCGCCGGCGCCGUCGCUGGACAUGCACAGCAUGCAGAACAUGAGCAUGGGCAGAAUGGAGAGCAUGAACAUGCAGAACAUGCAGCAGAUGUCGAUGACGAUGGCCGGGGCCGGGACGCCGCGCCCGGAGCGCCCCGAGCGCCCCUCCUCCCUGGGGGCGCCGUUCCGCCCUCGCAAGGGGGCCCCGGCGCCAGCCUCGCCCGCCGCCUCCGCUGCUACCACAACGACCAUUACUCCCCCACCUCCAAUCGCCCCCUCCAGCCGCCGAGUCUCCUUCAGACAGUGGUUGAUGGUGGGACUCCGAAUAGACAAGGCUGCUCAACUCCUCCCCCGCCUCCCGUUGCUCCCUCUUUAG
This 1504-nucleotide long non-coding RNA is filed under the name Bemisia tabaci. RNAcentral describes it as "lncRNA ENSSWEETPG010565". The record is from RNAcentral. Lineage: Eukaryota; Metazoa; Arthropoda; Insecta; Hemiptera; Aleyrodidae.